RNAcentral lists this ribosomal RNA (481 nucleotides) under uncultured bacterium. RNAcentral describes it as "partial 16S ribosomal RNA". It matches the Rfam family "Bacterial small subunit ribosomal RNA", at positions 28 to 523 of the family's 1533-position model. The record is from RNAcentral.
GACGAACGCUGGCGGCGUGCUUAACACAUGCAAGUCGAGCGGAAAGGCCACUUCGGUGGUACUCGAGCGGCGAACGGGUGAGUAACACGUGAGUAAUCUGCCCCUGGCUUUGGGAUAGCCACCGGAAACGGUGAUUAAUACCGGAUACGACCACUUCUCGCAUGGGUUGGUGGUGGAAAGUUUUUUCGGCCAGGGAUGUGCUCGCGGCCUAUCAGCUUGAUGGUGAGGUAAUGGCUCACCAUGGCUUCGACGGGUAGCCGGCCUGGGAGGGUGACCGGUCACACUGGGACUGAGACACGGGCCAGACUCCUACGGGAGGCAGCAGUGGGGAAUAUUGGACAAUGGGCGGAAGCCUGAUCCAGCAACGCCGCGUGAGGGGUGACGGCCUUCGGGUUGUAAACCCCUUUCAGCAGGGACGAAGCGCAAGUGACGGUACCUGCAGAAGAAGCACCGGCCAACUACGUGCCAGCAGCCGCGGUAA